RNAcentral lists this ribosomal RNA (277 nucleotides) under uncultured eukaryote. RNAcentral's name for it is "partial 18S ribosomal RNA". It matches the Rfam family "Eukaryotic small subunit ribosomal RNA", at positions 21 to 282 of the family's 1831-position model. The record is from RNAcentral.
UAGUCAUAUGCUUGUCUCAAAGAUUAAGCCAUGCAUGUCUAAGUAUAAACAAGUUUAUACUGUGAAACUGCGCACAGCUCAUUAUAUCAGCAAUAAUUUAUUUGAUGGUUACUUACUACAUGGAUACCCGUAGUAAUUCUAGAGCUAAUACAUGCGUUAAAGUCCCGACCCGCGAGGGGAGGGAUGUAUUUAUUAGAUAAAAAACCAAUGGCUUUUCCUUUCGGGGGAGAGUCCUCUUUGGUGAUUCAUAAUAACUGUUCGAAUCGCAUGGCCUUCG